AUGGUUGCUGGAGAUUGGCAGCUAGAGAUCCUCACCAAAUCACCAGUCACCCCAACCCCAAUCUCAAUAGCUCACCUCUGUUUCAUCUCAGAAUUUCAUUUUAAUAGCUUCAAGUCCUUCUUGCUCUUCUUGCCUUGCUCCCCAAAGCCAUGGUAUGUAUAUUUGAUCAUCACGCAAACUCCUUUGGGCUCUCAAAUUGAUUUCUAUUUGUAACUUUUUUCCUUUCUUUUCUGUGUGUUUUUUUUUCCUUUGUGAUGCAGUCUCUUACACCAGUGAUGUUUAGGUCACUGAUGAGGCUACUAACAUCUCUAAUUGGAGAGCCAGCUGCUUCAGUCUCAACCUUGCUUUACUACAGUGAGCUUCUGCCUCAGAAUAUCAUCUUGGAAAGAUUAGUUCGACAUGAAUUGCUCGAUCGAGAAAACUAUUUGUUCCAUUUCCUCAUCAACUUCUUGAGAUGUUUUUGGUAG
RNAcentral lists this long non-coding RNA (467 nucleotides) under Prunus dulcis (almond). Lineage: Eukaryota; Viridiplantae; Streptophyta; Magnoliopsida; Rosales; Rosaceae. The record is from RNAcentral.